CCCUUAGAUGUUCUGGGCCGCACGCGCGCUACACUGACAGGGUCAGCGAGUGCUCCUGCGUCGAAAGGCGUGGGUAAUCUUUGAAACCUUGUCGUGCUGGGGAUAGAUCCUUGCAAUUAUUGAUCUUGAACGAGGAAUUCCUAGUAAGCGCAAGUCAUCAGCUUGCGUUGAUUACGUCCCUGCCCUUUGUACACACCGCCCGUCGCUCCUACCGAUUGAAUGGUCCGGUGAAGCGUUCGGACCGUGGCCUUUGGACGGUUCGCCGUCUGUUGGCUGCGGGAAGUUCGUUAAACCUUAUCAUUUAGAGGAAGGUGAAGUCGUAACA
RNAcentral lists this ribosomal RNA (325 nucleotides) under uncultured eukaryote. RNAcentral's name for it is "partial 18S ribosomal RNA". It matches the Rfam family "Eukaryotic small subunit ribosomal RNA", at positions 1470 to 1796 of the family's 1831-position model. The record is from RNAcentral.